CUUUGAAUUAAAUGGGGAUGACACACGUGUAGGGGAAAUGUGCUGAUUUUGAUUUUUGAAUGACAAGACUUAAUCAAAAUUUCAGUUCCCAAUACUCGUCCGUAGCCUCAUUUCACUCUCACAUGUUUCUUCACGAUACACCAAUUGCCUAUGAAUAUAAAAUCUAUUUCACAUGACAAAAAUGACACAAAAAAAUAAAAUAUAUACAUAUACAUGCACAACACGUAAGCAGGGGCAGAGAAAGGGAUUGUUGGGACGUAUAUUCUUUUGUUUUGUCUUCCAAAAUUAGAGCAAGUUAACAAGGUAGGAUAUUGAGGUUCAGUAUUUUUCUAUCCCUUUGAAUAUUUUUUUCAUGUUGAUGAAUUAUAUGUUCAGAAAAGUUAAAGUUAUGAUAUGAUAUGCUAUGAUAUGAAUGAUAUGGUCAUUCUGGUACAACAAUAUGAUAUGAGCUCUUAUUGGAUUUAAAGAUAUGAG
RNAcentral lists this long non-coding RNA (474 nucleotides) under Olea europaea subsp. europaea. The record is from RNAcentral. Lineage: Eukaryota; Viridiplantae; Streptophyta; Magnoliopsida; Lamiales; Oleaceae.